Molecule: ribosomal RNA, 281 nt
Filed under: Phocaeicola coprocola DSM 17136
Lineage: Bacteria; Pseudomonadati; Bacteroidota; Bacteroidia; Bacteroidales; Bacteroidaceae
Description: partial 16S ribosomal RNA
Rfam family: Bacterial small subunit ribosomal RNA
Source: RNAcentral
UAUGGGUGUGUGCCAGCCGCCGCGGUAAUACGGAGGAUGCGAGCGUUAUCCGGAUUUAUUGGGUUUAAAGGGAGCGCAGACGGGAGAUUAAGUCAGUUGUGAAAGUUUGCGGCUCAACCGUAAAAUUGCAGUUGAUACUGGUUUCCUUGAGUGCAGUUGAGGCAGGCGGAAUUCGUGGUGUAGCGGUGAAAUGCUUAGAUAUCACGAAGAACCCCGAUUGCGAAGGCAGCUUGCUAAACUGUAACUGACGUUCAUGCUCGAAAGUGUGGGUAUCAAACAGG